This 429-nucleotide ribosomal RNA is filed under the name Bacteroidota bacterium. RNAcentral describes it as "Bacteroidetes bacterium partial 16S ribosomal RNA". It matches the Rfam family "Bacterial small subunit ribosomal RNA", at positions 355 to 776 of the family's 1533-position model. Lineage: Bacteria; Pseudomonadati; Bacteroidota. The record is from RNAcentral.
UAGGGAAUCUUCCGCAAUGGACGCAAGUCUGACGGAGCAACGCCGCGUGAGUGAAGAAGGAUUUCGGUUCGUAAAACUCUGUUGUUAGAGAAGAACAGCGCAUAGAGUAACUGUUAUGCGUGUGACGGUAUCUAACCAGAAAGCCACGGCUAACUACGUGCCAGCAGCCGCGGUAAUACGUAGGUGGCAAGCGUUGUCCGGAUUUAUUGGGCGUAAAGCGAGCGCAGGCGGUCAAUUAAGUCUGAUGUGAAAGCCCCCGGCUCAACCGGGGAGGGUCAUUGGAAACUGGUUGACUUAAGUGCAGAAGAGGAGAGUGGAAUUCCAUGUGUAGCGGUGAAAUGCGUAGAUAUAUGGAGGAACACCAGUGGCGAAGGCGACUCUCUGGUCUGUAACUGACGCUGAGGUUCGAAAGCGUGGGUAGCAAACAGG